CAUUUCAUUGAAAAUGAUGGUAAGUUCAACCAAACAGCAUACACCAUCAAGUCAAGUUAAGUUCUGGAUACAAAAUUCUCGACAUUAUUUAAUAGAAAAAGGGGAAUUUUCCUGGAUACAAAUGGAGGCACGGAAGGAGCCGAUAUUCUGAAGCUAGCUAGAUUGUAUUACUACUGCCUUGAUCUAGUUCUAAAAACUCCAGAAAAUGUAGACAUGAGAAGAACAUCUAGUAGCUCAGACUUUUAAUUAAAAUGAAGGGAUUGGGAAGGAGGAAUGACAUAACAGUUUAUGCCUAGUUAUUACAAAGGUGAUGAAACAUUCUAUUCUUUGCACACAAACAAACAACAUCAAGUAAUAAAUAAAUCAGGAAUGGAGAUAUAUCCAGGAGAUGCACUCAUGGAGCACAGUAGUAGUACUUGCGAACAACCAGCGAACGCACAGUA
RNAcentral lists this long non-coding RNA (443 nucleotides) under Panax ginseng (ginseng). Its description in RNAcentral is "long non-coding RNA (PGIN_LNC001829)". Lineage: Eukaryota; Viridiplantae; Streptophyta; Magnoliopsida; Apiales; Araliaceae. The record is from RNAcentral.